CACGUAGGGGGCAAGCGUUGUCCGGAUUUAUUGGGCGUAAAGAGCUCGUAGGUGGUUCGGUAAGUCGGGUGUUAAACCCCCAGGCUCAACCUGGGGACGCCACUCGAUACUGCUGUGACUAGAGUCCGGUAGGGGAGCGUGGAAUUCCUGGUGUAGCGGUGAAAUGCGCAGAUAUCAGGAGGAACACCGGUGGCGAAGGCGGUGCUCUGGGCCGAAACUGACGCUGAGGAGCGAAAGCGUGGGUAGCAAACAGG
RNAcentral lists this ribosomal RNA (254 nucleotides) under uncultured bacterium. RNAcentral describes it as "partial 16S ribosomal RNA". It matches the Rfam family "Bacterial small subunit ribosomal RNA", at positions 524 to 776 of the family's 1533-position model. The record is from RNAcentral.